RNAcentral lists this ribosomal RNA (198 nucleotides) under uncultured bacterium. Its description in RNAcentral is "partial 16S ribosomal RNA". It matches the Rfam family "Bacterial small subunit ribosomal RNA", at positions 1305 to 1500 of the family's 1533-position model. The record is from RNAcentral.
CUGAAACUCGCCUACAUGAAGCUGGAGUUACUAGUAAUCGCAGAUCAGAAUGCUGCGGUGAAUGCGUUCCCGGGUCUUGUACACACCGCCCGUCACACCACGGAAGUUGGGGGCGCCCGAAGCCACUUAGCUAACCCUUUUGGGAAGCGAGUGUCGAAGGUGAAAUCAAUAACUGGGGUGAAGUCGUAACAAGGUACC